Molecule: long non-coding RNA, 620 nt
Organism: Oxyura jamaicensis (ruddy duck)
Lineage: Eukaryota; Metazoa; Chordata; Aves; Anseriformes; Anatidae
Exons: 4
Source: RefSeq, a predicted model, not a curated record
CCUCUGUGAUGCAGCUUGUCACUGCUUGCUCACUGUCGGAGAAAAGCUAACAUUUUUAACAGACACAGUAACAGAAGAGUUAGAAUAAGAAAGCCUGAAUGUUUAAUCUGCCAGAAACAUAUGAGAAGAGCAAUCAAAUCUGGGAUAAAUAGCUCCGAAUAAGAAACCUCCAGACUUAAAGUGCUGAGAAGCCAAAUUUCCUACAUCUUCUUCAGUGUUCCUUUCUGCUUUUAUGGAAUUGGGCCCAAGGGAGCAGUUGAAACCGUUCACCAAGUGAUUUCUCUGAGGAUGCAUCUCUGUGAUUGCAGGUGUCCAAUGACCAUGUCAGGAGAGAAAACACCAGAAUACUUCUCAACAACUUGGUCUGAGAGACAGAAUUAUUUUGAUGGCUACUUCCUUUCCUAUGGUAUCAGAGGUUACAAAUCAAUUGACUCUGUGUUUCUCCUAUGUUUGCACCCAAUGCAACAUAAAUAUGUAUGCAAUAGUGCAAUAAUAAGUACAAUGUGCCCACAGAAAACAGUUACACCAUACAUGAAGAAAGAUUUUAAGUGUUCUUCACUUUAAGUAAGGAACCUCCAAAAUAAAUUUACUGCUCAACAUUAUUAUAAUAAAAUAUGAAU